UAGAAGCUGUGAUUUUUCGAUAUC
This 24-nucleotide microRNA is filed under the name Spodoptera frugiperda (fall armyworm). Its description in RNAcentral is "sfr-miR-10472-5p". The record is from miRBase by way of RNAcentral. Lineage: Eukaryota; Metazoa; Arthropoda; Insecta; Lepidoptera; Noctuidae.